RNAcentral lists this ribosomal RNA (520 nucleotides) under uncultured Scutellospora. Its description in RNAcentral is "SSU rRNA". It matches the Rfam family "Eukaryotic small subunit ribosomal RNA", at positions 569 to 1092 of the family's 1831-position model. The record is from RNAcentral. Lineage: Eukaryota; Fungi; Glomeromycota; Glomeromycetes; Diversisporales; Gigasporaceae.
AGCAGCCGCGGUAAUUCCAGCUCCAAUAGCGUAUAUUAAAGUUGUUGCAGUUAAAAAGCUCGUAGUUGAAUUUCGGAGUUCUACCGUCGGUCGGGCUACCAAGUCUGUACUGGUGUGUAGAAUUCCUACCUUCUGGGGAACUAUCAUGUUAUUAAUUUAGCGUGGUGGGAAACCAGGACCUUUACCUUGAAAAAAUUAGAGUGUUCAAAGCAGGCUUAUGUCUGAAUACAUUAGCAUGGAAUAAUAGAAUAGGACGGUGGUCCUGUUUGUUGGUUUCUGAAUCACCGUAAUGAUUAAUAGGGAUAGUUGGGGGCAUUAGUAUUCAAUUGUCAGAGGUGAAAUUCUUGGAUUUAUUGAAGACUAACUUCUGCGAAAGCAUUUGCCAAGGAUGUUUUCAUUAAUCAAGAACGAAAGUUAGGGGAUCGAAGACGAUCAGAUACCGUCGUAGUCUUAAUCAUAAACUAUGCCGACUAGGGAUCGGACGAUGUUAAAUUUUAUUGACUCGUUUCGGCGCCUUUAC